Molecule: small RNA, 140 nt
Filed under: Rhizobium etli
Lineage: Bacteria; Pseudomonadati; Pseudomonadota; Alphaproteobacteria; Hyphomicrobiales; Rhizobiaceae
Also listed under: 1 other name
Description: miscellaneous other RNA
Source: RNAcentral
UGCGGAGCCGUCUUACGGCGUUCUCGUUACGCCCAUUUCCGCUGUCUCGGCAUGUAAUGAAAUUUAUUGUCAGUUACCAAGUGCUAGGACCGGCCAGUCUCCCCUGUCGAGCCGCGUUCGUCUCAGCCGGCCUCUGCGCC